This 253-nucleotide ribosomal RNA is filed under the name uncultured bacterium. RNAcentral's name for it is "partial 16S ribosomal RNA". It matches the Rfam family "Bacterial small subunit ribosomal RNA", at positions 524 to 776 of the family's 1533-position model. The record is from RNAcentral.
UACGUAGGGUGCAAGCGUUAAUCGGAAUUACUGGGCGUAAAGCGUGCGCAGGCGGCUUUGCAAGACAGAUGUGAAAUCCCCGGGCUCAACCUGGGAACUGCACUUGUGACUGCAUGGCUGGAGUACGGCAGAGGGGGAUGGAAUUCCGCGUGUAGCAGUGAAAUGCGUAGAUAUGCGGAGGAACACCGAUGGCGAAGGCAAUCCCCUGGGCCUGUACUGACGCUCAUGCACGAAAGCGUGGGGAGCAAACAGG